ACAAUCCAGCCUGGUCAAAGGUUAGCCACCAGGCCAGAACUGAACUUGAUGUAUAUUGAGGUAACGAGAUAUGCAAAGCUCAAGGAAAGGCGAAUGCUCAGCCAUAACGUAAGUGAAGGUUUUCAGCCCCGAAAUUUGACUAAUUGCAUUGGGCCAAGAGGUUCACCACUCUGAAGCCAGCAUCGCUGCACACGAUAAUGGUGAGUGUGUUAGCGGCGGGCCGGGGUCGUAGACCA
Non-coding RNA from Phycisphaerae bacterium SM1_79, 236 nucleotides. The record is from Rfam. Lineage: Bacteria; Pseudomonadati; Planctomycetota; Phycisphaerae.